GGACCCGUAGCUUAGCAUGGAUAUAGCACCGGCCUCCUAAGCCGGGGAUCGCGGGUUCAAAUCCCGCCGGGUCCG
This 75-nucleotide transfer RNA is filed under the name Archaeoglobaceae archaeon. RNAcentral describes it as "tRNA-Arg". It matches the Rfam family "tRNA". Rfam says of the family: Transfer RNA (tRNA) molecules are approximately 80 nucleotides in length. Their secondary structure includes four short double-helical elements and three loops (D, anti-codon, and T loops). Further hydrogen bonds mediate the characteristic L-shaped molecular structure. tRNAs have two regions of fundamental functional importance: the anti-codon, which is responsible for specific mRNA codon recognition, and the 3' end, to which the tRNAs corresponding amino acid is attached (by aminoacyl-tRNA synthetases). tRNAs cope with the degeneracy of the genetic code in two manners: having more than one tRNA (with a specific anti-codon) for a particular amino acid; and 'wobble' base-pairing, i.e. permitting non-standard base-pairing at the 3rd anti-codon position. Lineage: Archaea; Methanobacteriati; Methanobacteriota; Archaeoglobi; Archaeoglobales; Archaeoglobaceae. The record is from RNAcentral.